UUCAAAUAAGCAAAAAAACUACUCAAAAAUAAGCAAAAUAUAGAAUAGAAAAAAAAAUUAAAAAAUGAACAAAAAAUAUGAAAAAUAAGAAAAAUAGAAAAAAAAAACAAAAAAUUUAAAAAAUAAGAAAAAUUAAAAAAAAAACGGUUUCAAAAUUACAAAAGAAAAUUAUGGAAAAAUUCUAAAAUAAUAAAUAAAUCUAAUUAAAAAAAUGUCUCAUUGUCUCAUUUUUUCCUGUUCCAAGUCUGACUCAAAAUUUGAGUUUCCCUGUUCGGCUUCAAUUAUUCCCUAUGUUUCUCUCAGCAAAUCCUUUAAAUAGAUCAAAUCGCCCAUUUCGAAAGCUGAAAAAUAAUUCAGCUAACAAGAAGCUCCCUUCAUUCAGUCAACCCUGUUACAGAAAAUUCCUGCAAAGCCACAGCGCCAACAAAUGAUAUGCAAAGCAGCCAGAAAGGGAUUUAAAUUAUUCACAGUCCAACGGGUGCUCGCGCUUUAUUUCGCUUGGCUUAGUGGCUGGCAGUCUUCAUUGUAAGAGAAAAUAAAAAAAAUCCUUAAGGACACAAAAUAUUCCCGAAGGAAGAAUCUGCUGGCUACCGCAGAACACCUUCCAGCAGGAGGGUUCGAAAAGCUUCGUUCAGCUUCGUUUUACUUUUUUUUAUCCUAGUCAAGUGUGACACACCAAUGACAUUAAUAACAGCAACAAAAACAACUACUACAACAAGACUAAAAAGAGGAUGGUGUUUAAAAUUGUGGCAUUCAAAAAUCUCUUUGCAAAAGACGAACAGGGGGAGAAAAAGGAUUUUGCUACUGCCUCGCGCUAUUAAGAUAAUCAUCUCUAGAUUCAACACUCUGUGUGUUGUGUCAUGUCUUCAGCGGGAGGGUUGAUUGUGACUUUUGUUUUCCGAUGUGUUUUCAGUCGUUUGUCUUUUUCCCUUUUUUUGUUGGUUUUUUGCGUCCUUUUUUUUAUUGAAUUCACCGUUCAUUCGAAACCAACAACAACCCCAUGCCCUUCGAAAGGGUUUCCGGUAGAAUGGUUCUGGGCCAACGUUCGUUUCUAUCUGAAGUUUGAAGUAAAUUACUGAUUGAGAUUGGGUUGAGCUUUCUUUAGGAAAAAUUCUGCUGACAACGACGGUAAUGAGGUACUUGAGUUGGGACGAAUUUUUUUAUUUCUUGCAACCAUGAAAUGAGGAAAUUUUGCAAUCCCUUUUUCAAUGACGAUCUGAACUUCUUCUUUUGUUAAAGUUUUGCUAAAAUAUUUUGACUGUUUUAAAGCUGUUCAAAAGCAACAGUUCAAGCUCUUAAUAGAAUCAAAUAAAUUUCUAAGCGCCGUGCUACUUCCGCCGAUUGAAUUUAGCACAUCCGGCAAACGAUUCUUUCCACAGCUCUCCAAUCUCAGCGAGUACUAAGCAAUCGUUUAGCAGACGGAUUUCGAAUCAGAAAACCAAACGAAAACCAACCGAGAUUCCUACACUCGAAGAAAUUAGCCGGGAUCGUUCCCGUUGUCUUUUUACAAGGUUUAGUCCUUCUUGUUGAGAGGAGCAAAAAAAAAUCCGACCGCAAAAAGUCCGCCCAAAUGAUUCCCAUUUCUCAAACAACGAGGAGAAGCUUAGAAAGGAGCGACAACUUCGUUCCUUUCCGGAGUUCAAGACGACGACGACGACAUCCUACUUGAGCCGGGAAUAUGUUUGGAGAAGCAGCAGAUUUUCCGCCCUGAAUCCUUAUCCUAUUCGGUGGAGAAUUCUUCCGCUGUUUGCCAAAAAGUUCGCCCGGUGCUUUUUGGCUUCUGGUCGGAAAAUCGUUUUUCUUAGAGCCCCUCAAGGGUUUUCUACACCGAAGAAAAAAGACACAACCAGUUCGUGUGUUUCGUCUUUCAAUUUCUAACUGCUUUUUUUUAUCUAAAGCUUUGGGAAAUGACACUGGUUCUAACAUCGUGACACAAGCUGUUUCCCGGAAUCCGACUAGUGUUCCCCAAGAAGAGUGAUUGGCAAAAUUCGGAAUCGAACACGGGAUUCUUUUCUAUUUACAGAUGAAAAGAAAGAACACGGAACCAAACAAUUUAAACUAAUUGUAUCCACUUUAGGGCGCGCUUGAGCUGUGAGCUGUUAUACAGCGCUCUAUCGGUUGAUGGUGCUUAAGAAGUUGGCGCUAGGUCAUCUUGGGAUUAGUUGCUGAGAGGUGAAACAUUCUUCUCUCUGGAGAAGGAAUUUGUUCGCACUUCAUCGGGUUCCACGAUGGAAUGUUCGGAAAGAACUAAAUUUGUUCUGUCGAUCUCUGUCGGAUUUAGUAAAACCUUUCAGAGAAGCUAAAUAUCUAAUGAUUCAAACAAAUUGAGGUCAUUUGAUCCUUUGUUAGAACAUUAAGGACCUAAUAUGGGAUAUUUAAUUUUUAGCUUUCCUUCUCAGCUUAAAAGAAUAACUCAAAAAUAUGCUGGAUAGCAUAUCGGAGUUCCUUCUUUGAGGUUUAGCGGUUUUUGAUACAUAAAAUAAUUGUCCAAUUUCAAUGUUACGUAUGAAUUGAAUUCAGUGGGUACUUAUUUUACUACCCUUGGGAACGUCUAGACUUCAGACAAUAACCAUAUUUCUCUUUCAAUAACUGAACUUCAGUACACACAGUACCAAUUCUCGACCAUGGAUUUGACUCGUGGUUGUGGUUUGUACGACAGCAAUUUCAACCCGAAUUAGGUUCGUAGUUUUCCUGAGUACAACACAAGUUCUUCAUCACGAGUCAGACUCGCGGUAUUCGCCGAUGUGGAAAAAAUCUAUCCUACUACGAGUCAGGCUCGUGGUUUUUUUUGUAUAGCACUGAUUCUUUUUUAAAGUCAGCCUCCUGAUUUAAACUUGCUCAAAAUUUUUUUUAUCACGAGUUUGGCUCGUGGUUUUUGAUUGAACAACACAAAUUAUUUUAAACGAGUCAGACUCGUGGUUUUCGUUUUAACGGCAAAAAUUUUAUACCGUGAGUCUACCUUAUAUUCUCCACCAAAAGUCAAACUUGUGGUUUUUGCUUUUCAGUGCAAAUUCUUUACCAUGAGUCAAACUCGUGAUAUUUACUUGUAGGACACAGAUUCUUUGCCACUAGUUAGACUUGUGGUUUAGCUUGUAGGGUGCAAUUACUAUAUCACGUGUAGGAAUGUGAUUUUUUUUUUGGUUUUUUGGCAACACUAAUUCUUUUUCACGAGUCAGCCUUGUGGAUUCAAGGUUGCCGAAAUCACAGAAAAUUCUGUAUUGUCACAGAAUUUUGAACAAAAUUUCGUCACAGAAUCUGUGCACAGAUCACAGAAUUUUUAAAUUAUCACAGAAUUUAGUAUUAUUAUUAUAUUUAUUAUUUUUUAUCACAUAUUUUUAAGAUUUUGAACAGAUUUCUAAAAUUAUAAAUUUCUGUAUCACUUUCGGUUUUUUAUUUAUGACUAUAAUUCAUGAAAAUAUGAAAACUACGUAACGUAAAUUGAUUUUUUCUAUUGAAACAGUUCAAUUUGUUUAUAUUUCACAUGAUUAUCCAAUGAAUUUUGAAUUUUGAAGAACAAAAACACAGAUUUUUUUUUCGGCUACUUUGCUGGUGAUUUCAGCUCGCAUAGCUGAAAUUUCUUAUCAGAAGUCAAGCUCGUCUGUUUUGCUUGAACAGCAAAAAUCAAUUUCGACAAGAGCCAGAUGUAGGGAUGCGGUAAAAGAUAUGCAGAGUAUUAAUUAUAUUUAAUUAAAAAUAUAAUAAAAUAAAAUAAAAGUUGUAUUCGGCAACACUGAAGAUGAAUAGAAUAAAGUAAAUGUCCAUGGCAACGUUUGUUAUUUUGGCAACACUAGGCAAAACAAACAAAACAAAGUGAUCUUUUCUUGUGAGCGACAGACGUGUCGUAGUGAAUCUCACAAUUGAGAUUCGUAAAAUCACGACAAUGGCGUGAUUGAUAGAAUAAGCUUAAAUAGCGCAGAUAUUUAAGGCUGCUGCUGCUGAUGGUUUUGAUUUGGCCUUCCGGUUUAAUAAGACGGAUUGGCUUUAGAAACGCAGUUUUUUUUAGGCUGCUGCUGCUAAUUGUUUCGAUUUGGCCUUCCGGUGGAAUAAGACGGAAUUGGCUUUAGAAGCGCAGAUUUUUAAGGCUGCUGCUGCUGAUUGUUUUGAUUUGACCUUCCGGUGGAAUAAGACGAAAUUGGCUUUAGAAGCGCAGAUUUUAUGGCUGCUGCUGCUGAUUGUUUUGGUUUGGCCUUUCGAUUGAAUAAGACGUAGAAGCGCAGAUUUUCAAGGCUGCUGCUGCUGAUUGUUUUGAUUUGACUUUCAGGUGGAAUAAGACGGAAUUGGCUUUAGAAGUGCAGAUUUUCAAGACUGCUGCUGCUGGUUGUCUUAAUUUGACCUUCCGGUGGAAUAAGACUGAAUUGGCUUUAGAAGCGCAGAUUUUCAAGGCUGCUGCUGCUGACUGUUUUGAUUUGACCUUCCGAUGGAACAAGACUGAAUUGGCUUUAGUAGCCCAGCUUUUUUGGGCUGCUGCUGCAGAUGGUUUUGAUUUGACCUUCCGGUGGAAUAAGACGGAAUUGGCUUUAGAAGCGCAGAUUUUAUGGCUGCUGCUGCAGAUUGUUUUGGUUUGGCCUUUCGAUUGAAUAAGACGCAGAAGCGCAGAUUUUCAAGGCUGCUGCUGCUGAUUGUUUUUAGUUGGCCUUCCAAAGGAAUAAGACGGAAUUGGCUUUAGAAGCGCAGAUUUUUAAGGCUGCUGCUGCUGACUGUUUUGAUUUGACUUUCCGGUGGAAUAAGCACAAAUAGCGCAGAUAUUUAAGGCUGCUGCUGCUGAUUGUUUUGAUUUGGCCUUUCUGUUGAAUAAGACGGAUUAGCUUUAAAAGCGCAGAUUUUUAAGGCUGCUGCUGCUGACUGUUUUGAUUUGACUUUCAGGUGGAAUAAGACUAAAUUUGCUUUAGAAGCGCAGAUUUUUAAAGCUGCUGCUGCUGAUUGAUUUGAUUUGGCCUUCCGGUUGAAUAAGGCGGAUUGGCUUUAGAAGCGCAGAUUUUUAAGGCUGCUGCUGCUGAUUGUUUUGAUUUGAUCUUCCAGUGGAAUAAGACUGAAUUUGCUUUUGAAGCGCAGAUUUUGAUGGCUGCCGCUGCUGAUUGUUUUGGUUUAGCCUUCCGGUUGAAUAAGACAGAUCGGCUUUAGAAGCGCAGAUUUCAAGGCUGCUGCUACUGAUUGUUUUUAUUUGGCCUUUCGAUGGAAUAAGACGAAAUUGGCUUUAGAAGUGCAGAUUUUUGAGGCUGCUGCUGCUGAUUGUUUUGAUUUGGCCUCCUAAAUUCAUCCCAAAUGAGAUUCGAAAAAUCACGACAACAGACUCAUGGUUUUCACUUGUUCCGUGUAUAUUCUUAAUCAAGAGUCUAACUCGUGGUUUUCGCUUUUCAGUACAACUUCUGUACCACGAGUCAAACUCAUGGUACUCGCUUAUGAGGCACCAAUUAUUUGUCAUGAAACAAACUCGUGAUUUCCGCUUGCACGGCUCAAAUUUCUCACCACGAGUCAGGCUCGGAUUUAUCGCUUGUACAGCACAAGUUAUUUACCACGAGUCUGACACGUGGUUUUCGACUGUGCUUCAAAAAUUCUAUACCACGAGUCUAACUCGUAAUUUCUGCUUGUAUGACCUAAAUUCUUAGUCAAGAGUAAAACUCGUGAUUUUUUUUCGGUUUCAGCACAAAUUUUGUACUAAACUCGUGGUUACCGCUUGUAAAGUACAAAUGCUUUAACACGAGUCCAACUCGUGAUUUGCACUCCUACUAUUCACUCAGACUCUUUAGAAGUCAGGCUCGUGAUUCUAGCUUGAACGUUAGACUCGUUUUUGUCGCGGGUCGGACACGAAGUUUCCGCAUUUUUGGCAUAAAUUCUGUACCACGAGUCAAACUCGUGGUUGUCACUUGUACAGCACUUAUUAUUCACUCCAAGUUCAUAUCUAAUUGUAUAGGUUAAGGAAGUGCCACCUCUAUCCCGGUCCUACUUCUCCUAAAUAAUGAGAUAUAGCGUUAAGAUAAAUCUACGAAUCAAUUGAACGGUGAUCAACUUAUUUUAAAAAUUACUCCAAGUCAGAAUAGUGAUGAUUGUUUGUGAAUUCGGUUUUUACACCGCAAACUCAUCACGAGUCAGACCCGCAAUUUUUACUUGUGCGGCAUAAAUCUCCACCAAGCGUAAAAUUGGUUGUUUUAACUUUUUCGGUAGUAAUUCUAAGUGACAUUCGGAUUCUUCACUAAUGCCAUAUUCGUUUUCAUCCUGUUGGUGCACAACCAUCUUUCCACCAGAUGAAAACGAAUAUGGCAUAAGAACCAGUACACAUUUAAAUCAAAUUAAAGAGUUUAAAAUGAAGUCUCAAACUAAGUCCACAUUCAAACGCGUGGGAAAGUUUCGUCAAUUCUCUUUUGAACCGAGAAUCGGCUAACACAUUUCCGUCUAACAACAAAUAGUUGCUUGCUGCUGACAACAGUGUAAUUUUCAUCAAUUUGAUUGUGGUCUUCCCUCACACAACGGCGGCCAAACUCCACCGGAAAGCGAAGCACACAUUUUUCCUCUUUAUUGUGCAGUUUAGGAUUGUUGGGUUGUUUUUCUUCUCUCGACGAAGAUCGGAAUUCGGUUCGGAAUCUUCGGCUCGAUCGGAGUUAAAAAUGUUAUCGCAAUUUAUCGGGAUUUAACAUUCCAAGUCGAUGUUUGGUUGGAUGCUCAAUCGGGAUCGGCGGGAGUGUUUUUGUAUUUCGUGUUUUCUUCCCUUCAGUGUUGGGGAAGCUGUCUGUGGAGCCAAUAUCGUAGAUCACCCAGGGACACGAUUACACGGUGGGUUUUUUAUCGAGCGAACGAAAGCACUCACUCACAGGUGGGAGGAAUUUGACGACAGCAUCGGCGGCAACAACAACAGUUCAUAACUCAAGUAGCUUAACCUUCUUCUUCCUUCAUUGGGGUGGGGGGUUUCCUCCUUCAUCUGUGCGUGUCGUACGUUGGGUUUUUUCUUCUGAAAAGCAUCCAAAGAAGGCACACCAAGAGAACGGAAAGAAGGUUGAAUACUUCUGACUGCCAUCGCCCAACCAGCUCAUCCAGUCUUUUGCUUUUUCCAUCGAGUAUGGAUAUUUUUUUCGGGCUAUAACCUUCUUCUGACUGACGGUGAAUCCAAAACGGCACACUGCAUCAAUCCGUAAAUACGACGACGAGGAAGGAAGGUAAUCUAGUGGAAGGUCGCUGCUAGUGUUGGUGCCACAUUGGCAACCGUGCCGCUAUUCGUUGAUGUUGGUGAAAAGAGGGAUUCGGUCAUGAUUCUUCCAGUGUGGUGGUAGUGCUGCUGCUGCUAGUUGAAAUCUUAAGAAUGGCAAUAAAUGCAUCGAAAGCCACCGGACCGAACCUAACAGAAGACCGACCGAAGGCAGGCAAAAAGGCAGAUUUGCAAACAAGUUACUUUUGCUUUGGUUCGUUUCCAGGAGUUGACCUGACUGCAGCGAGUAAGCAAGCAGACAGGCAGAAGGGGGAAAACUUCUGCUGCUGAAACGGAACACAUGGAAGCAGCAAAAUUGAUAUCCACAUCAUGUAGCGCAGGGGCCAGCAGAGUAGAGCCACUUACUCUAUGGAAAAGCCACUUGACUUUUGGGAAGGUGACUCCGGACUCGUGCUGUCGACUGGCUGACUGCCUGCUUGUGUCCACUCGUCGUCAACGUCGAUGGUUGUCUCUUCUCCUUCCCUAGAAAUUUGUUUAGCCGUCCGUGUGUUUGUGCCACGAACGGAGUUUUCUCGGUGUGUCUGGCUGGACGAUUGCCAGCAGCAGCAGGAGAACUCCAUAAUACGGUUCACGUUGUUGUACAUUUCUUCUCUCAGGUUGUUGGUUGGGGUCGUUCCGCUUCGGCACUGCGAGUGCCCCCUAUUAUCUUGACUAGGGUAGAGGCAUCUUGUGUCGUCACGCUUUGACUUAUGGAGCUAGUUCUAUCACCCAAGCUCCCAGAUGUCAGAGAACAAC
Molecule: long non-coding RNA, 7933 nt
Organism: Uranotaenia lowii
Lineage: Eukaryota; Metazoa; Arthropoda; Insecta; Diptera; Culicidae
Exons: 2
Source: RefSeq, a predicted model, not a curated record